This 460-nucleotide ribosomal RNA is filed under the name uncultured bacterium. Its description in RNAcentral is "partial 16S ribosomal RNA". It matches the Rfam family "Bacterial small subunit ribosomal RNA", at positions 338 to 795 of the family's 1533-position model. The record is from RNAcentral.
CCUACGUGUGGCAGCAGUGAGGAAUAUUGGUCAAUGGACGAGAGUCUGAACCAGCCAAGUAGCGUGAAGGAUGACUGCCCUAUGGGUUGUAAACUUCUUUUAUAUGGGAAUAAAAUGUUCCACGUGUGGGAUUUUGUAUGUAACAUAUGAAUAAGGAUCGGCUAACUCCGUGCCCGCAGCCGCGGUUAUACGGAGGAUCCGAGCGUUAUCCGGAUUUAUUGGGUUUAAAGGGAGCGUAGGUGGUUGGUUAAGUCAGUUGGGAAAGUUUGCGGCACAACCGUAAAAGUGCAGUUGAAACUGGCAGUCUUGAGUACAUGAGAGGUGGGCGGAAUGCGUGGUGUAGCGGUGAAAUGCAUAGAUAUCACGAAGAACUCCGAUUGCGAAGGCAGUUCACUGGACUGCAACUGACACUGAGGCUCGAAAGUGUGGGUAUCAAACAGGAUUAGAUACCCUAGUAGUC